RNAcentral lists this ribosomal RNA (437 nucleotides) under uncultured Oscillospiraceae bacterium. RNAcentral describes it as "bacterial SSU rRNA". It matches the Rfam family "Bacterial small subunit ribosomal RNA", at positions 341 to 792 of the family's 1533-position model. The record is from RNAcentral. Lineage: Bacteria; Bacillati; Bacillota; Clostridia; Eubacteriales; Oscillospiraceae.
ACGGAAGGCAGCAGUGGGGAAUAUUGCACAAUGGGGGAAACCCUGAUGCAGCAACGCCGCGUGAAGGAUGACGGUUUUCGGAUUGUAAACUUCUUUUCUUAGUGACGAAGACAGUGACGGUAGCUAAGGAAUAAGCAUCGGCUAACUACGUGCCAGCAGCCGCGGUAAUACGUAGGAUGCAAGCGUUAUCCGGAUUUACUGGGUGUAAAGGGAGCGCAGGCGGGACUGCAAGUUGGAUGUGAAAUACCGUGGCUUAACCACGGAACUGCAUCCAAAACUGUAGUUCUUGAGUGAAGUAGAGGCAAGCGGAAUUCCGAGUGUAGCGGUGAAAUGCGUAGAUAUUCGGAGGAACACCAGUGGCGAAGGCGGCUUGCUGGGCUUUAACUGACGCUGAGGCUCGAAAGUGUGGGGAGCAAACAGGAUUAGAUACCCUGGUA